UACGGAAGGCAGCAGUGGGGAAUAUUGCACAAUGGGCGCAAGCCUGAUGCAGCCAUGCCGCGUGUAUGAAGAAGGCCUUCGGGUUGUAAAGUACUUUUCAGCGGGGAGGAAGGGAGUAAAGUUAAUACCUUUGCUCAUUGACGUUACCCGCAGAAGAAGCACCGGCUAACUCCGUGCCAGCAGCCGCGGUAAUACGGAGGGUGCAAGCGUUAAUCGGAAUUACUGGGCGUAAAGCGCACGCAGGCGGUUUUGUUAAGUCAGAUGUGAAAUCCCCGGGCUCAACCUGGGAACUGCAUCUGAUACUGGCAAGCUUGAGUCUCGUAGAGGGGGUAGAAUUCCAGGUGUAGCGGUGAAAUGCGUAGAGAUCUGGAGGAAUACCGGUGGCGAAGGCGGGCCCCUGGGACGAAGACUGACGCUCAGGGUGCGAAAGCUGGGGAGCAAACAGGAUUAGAUACC
Molecule: ribosomal RNA, 456 nt
Filed under: uncultured bacterium
Lineage: Bacteria
Description: bacterial SSU rRNA
Rfam family: Bacterial small subunit ribosomal RNA
Source: RNAcentral